UAAAUUGGGAUAUCAAAGAAAUAAUAAAAAUAAGGGUAAACUAUAAUUGUAAAACCUAUAAUUUAGUCAAUGUAAUUUUAAAAUAAAGUAAUUUAGUUUCUGAUAUUUUAAUAGCCCUACAAAUUAGUCAUUGCCAUUAGAAUUUUAAUUAAUAUGAUAUAACUUAAAGUAUGAUCUAUCUAAGUGCUAACAUAUGGAAAAAGAAGGAGGAGGAGAUAUA
RNAcentral lists this unclassified non-coding RNA (220 nucleotides) under Hevea brasiliensis (rubber tree). Lineage: Eukaryota; Viridiplantae; Streptophyta; Magnoliopsida; Malpighiales; Euphorbiaceae. The record is from RNAcentral.